RNAcentral lists this ribosomal RNA (467 nucleotides) under uncultured bacterium. RNAcentral's name for it is "partial 16S ribosomal RNA". It matches the Rfam family "Bacterial small subunit ribosomal RNA", at positions 28 to 507 of the family's 1533-position model. The record is from RNAcentral.
GAUGAACGCUGGCGGCGCGCCUAACACAUGCAAGUCGAACGAUUAAAGCACCUUCGGGUGUGUAUAAAGUGGCGAACGGCUGAGUAACACGUGGGCAACCUGCCCCUUUCAUUGGGAUAGCCACGGGAAACCGUGGAUAAUACCGAAUACUUCGAGACUUCCGCAUGGAAGACUCGAGAAAGCUCCGGCGGAGAGGGAUGGGCCCGCGGCCUGUUAGCUUGUUGGUGGGGUAACGGCCUACCAAGGCAAUGAUGGGUAGCUGGGUUGAGAGACCGACCAGCAGAAUGGGGACUGAGACACGGCCAAGACUCCUACGGGAGGAAGCGGGGGGGAAUCUGGCACAGGGGGCGAAGGCCGGACGCAGCGCCGCCGGGGGCGGGAGGAAGGCCUUCGGUUUGAACACCGCUUUCAGCGGGGACGGGGAGAAAGGGGCGGUCCCUGAAGAAGAAGCCCGGGCUAACUCCGUC